RNAcentral lists this ribosomal RNA (646 nucleotides) under bacterium HZ6-18. Its description in RNAcentral is "bacterial SSU rRNA". It matches the Rfam family "Bacterial small subunit ribosomal RNA", at positions 338 to 974 of the family's 1533-position model. The record is from RNAcentral.
CCUACGGGAGGCAGCAGUAGGGAAUCUUCCGCAAUGGACGAAAGUCUGACGGAGCAACGCCGCGUGAACGAUGAAGGCCUUCGGGUCGUAAAGUUCUGUUGUUAGGGAAGAACAAGUGCUAGUUAAAUAAGCUGGCACCUUGACGGUACCUAACCAGAAAGCCACGGCUAACUACGUGCCAGCAGCCGCGGUAAUACGUAGGUGGCAAGCGUUGUCCGGAAUUAUUGGGCGUAAAGCGCGCGCAGGCGGUUUCUUAAGUCUGAUGUGAAAGCCCCCGGCUCAACCGGGGAGGGUCAUUGGAAACUGGGAAACUUGAGUGCAGAAGAGGAAAGUGGAAUUCCAAGUGUAGCGGUGAAAUGCGUAGAGAUUUGGAGGAACACCAGUGGCGAAGGCGACUUUCUGGUCUGUAACUGACGCUGAGGCGCGAAAGCGUGGGGAGCAAACAGGAUUAGAUACCCUGGUAGUCCACGCUGUAAACGAUGAGUGCUAAGUGUUAGAGGGUUUCCGCCCUUUAGUGCUGAAGUUAACGCAUUAAGCACUCCGCCUGGGGAGUACGGUCGCAAGACUGAAACUCAAAGGAAUUGACGGGGGCCCGCACAAGUGGUGGAGCAUGUGGUUUAAUUCGAAGCAACGCGAAGAACCUUAC